AUGGUGUAUUUCACAGUGUUUGCGCCUGUUUUAUUUCUUCUUCUCCCUCAGAGCCGCAGAUGUUUGCGAGGGUUGAACACAGACGUGAUGAUGAUGAUGAUGAUGUCCACCGAACGUCCCGGAGCCCAGAGCUGCACGACCGGGUCGGUGUCGACUCUCAUACGCCGGGAAGCAGAGUACAGCGGUUUCAGGAUGCGACGUGUUUUCGGACGCCCGGGGUGCUGUGAGCUACACCCCACCCCCCCGCGCAAUUCCCAAACUGGAGGAAUGGAGUUUGGGAGGUCAGUGAUGAGACUGGUCUUUACCUUGCCCCCCUGAUCAAGGGCAGACUGCUUGGAAAAUGUGGUUCUGUCGCUGGAAAGGUGGGCGGUAACAUCCAGCCCAGCGCGGGACAAAAGCCGCCCCACCCCUUCAAACAAUAUGCAUCCCAUUCUUCUCAUUCCUUGUGUUAAUGAAAAGGUUAACCAGCAAUAUCAACGGUACGGUUUCUCACGGUGAAAAGCAUCCUGAUGUCGAGCUGUCCACCAUAUAUAAAUCCAGAUAUUGUAUAUUCUCUAGAUAAACCCAUUUAGCUUGCCUUCUUUAUGGGGGGGGGGGAAUCAACUUGAAAACUCCACCCUUUCUUAAAAAAAUAAAACUUUUAUUAAAUUAGGUCA
Molecule: long non-coding RNA, 656 nt
Filed under: Scleropages formosus (Asian bonytongue)
Lineage: Eukaryota; Metazoa; Chordata; Actinopteri; Osteoglossiformes; Osteoglossidae
Description: lncRNA (ENSSFOG00015033252.1)
Source: RNAcentral